AAGUAYAUGUGCACCGAAUAUAUAAAGUGGAUGCAUCAUCCCAUCCAUCUGGACAAAAUUGGAAUAGAAAGGAAGAYCCCUAAGAAAGAAAGGUGACAGAUUAUUGAUGAGAAGAGAAGAAGGAGACAGUGGCAUCGUCUUGUCUUAGCACCAAAUACCGCCUUGGAGUUGUAUACUGUGCAAAAAGCAUCCGCAUGCGGAAAAGCAGUUAGUGGUCCUGCAAACAGUCAUCAUGGUGGAUUUUAUGGUGGGAUUUCUACUGCAGAGAGAGAACUAUCUGUGAAUUUCCAGGUGGCCAGACUGCUGACUGCACAAGAGGACUUCAACAACAUGAAGAAGUCUCUGAGCUGA
Dromaius novaehollandiae (emu) is the source of this 351-nucleotide long non-coding RNA. The record is from Ensembl. NCBI's taxonomy places the organism in Eukaryota, Metazoa, Chordata, Aves, Casuariiformes, Dromaiidae.